CUUGUUUCGCUCUGUGCCCAUGCCCUUUUGGGGGCGAUCAUGGAUGCGGAGAUUGGCCCUCCGUGCCUUGUGUGCGGCGGGCUUAAGCGCGGGCUGUCGGUGUCGGGAUGGGCACGACGAGUGGUGGACGGAGCACCAGUAGGAUGUUGUGGUCCCCCGUCGCCCUAAGGGGCUCAAGACCCGGACUAGGCCAGCCGUGCUCCGUAAGAGGAGGGCGAGCUGUCUCGCAAU
RNAcentral lists this unclassified non-coding RNA (231 nucleotides) under Lilium wallichianum. RNAcentral describes it as "ITS 2". Lineage: Eukaryota; Viridiplantae; Streptophyta; Magnoliopsida; Liliales; Liliaceae. The record is from RNAcentral.